RNAcentral lists this unclassified non-coding RNA (380 nucleotides) under soil metagenome. Its description in RNAcentral is "partial contains 5.8S ribosomal RNA, internal transcribed spacer 2, and large subunit ribosomal RNA". The stretch from base 1 to 120 matches the Rfam family "5.8S ribosomal RNA", at positions 35 to 154 of the family's 154-position model. The record is from RNAcentral.
GAUGAAGAACGUAGCGAAAUGCGAUAAGUAAUGUGAAUUGCAGAAUUCAGUGAAUCAUCGAAUCUUUGAACGCACCUUGCACCCUUUGGCAUUCCGAAGGGUAUGCUCGUUUGAGUGUCAUUGUACUCUCACUCUCCCGAUCCUUGGAUCGGGAGUGGUGGACUUGGGUGUUGCUGCUUUACCGUGGCUCACCUCAAAUGGAUUCGUGCAACUCCUGGUUGGACAUAGUACGGCGUGAUAAGUGUCUUCGCCGGCACCUCACUAGAGGGUGGCUGACCGGGAGCUCUGUGCUUCAAACCGUCUUCGGACAACAACUGACAACUUGACCUCAAAUCGAGUAGGACCACCCGCUGAACUUAAGCAUAUCAAUAAGCGGAGGA